Molecule: ribosomal RNA, 432 nt
Filed under: uncultured bacterium
Lineage: Bacteria
Description: partial 16S ribosomal RNA
Rfam family: Bacterial small subunit ribosomal RNA
Source: RNAcentral
ACGAACGCUGGCGGCAUGCCUAACAUAUGCAAGUCGAACGCGACCUUCGGGUCUAGUGGCGCACGGGUGCGUAACGCGUGGGAACCUGCCCUUAGGUUCGGAAUAACUCCCCGAAAGGGGUGCUAAUACCGGAUAAUGUCUUCGGACCAAAGAUUUAUCGCCUUUGGAUGGGCCCGCGUUGGAUUAGCUAGUUGGUAGGGUAAAAGCCUACCAAGGCGACGAUCCAUAGCUGGUCUGAGAGGAUGAUCAGCCACACUGGGACUGAGACACGGCCCAGACUCCUACGGGAGGCAGCAGUGGGGAAUAUUGGACAAUGGGCGAAAGCCUGAUCCAGCAAUGCCGCGUGAGUGAUGAAGGCCUUAGGGUUGUAAAGCUCUUUUACCCGGGAUGAUAAUGACAGUACCGGGAGAAUAAGCUCCGGCUAACUCCGUG